Molecule: non-coding RNA, 71 nt
Organism: Paramuricea clavata
Lineage: Eukaryota; Metazoa; Cnidaria; Anthozoa; Malacalcyonacea; Plexauridae
Source: the annotation of a GenBank genome assembly
GCUUCUGUAGCUUAGUUGCUUAGCGCUGCACUGGAAUCACAGCGUCGUAGGUUCAAUUCCUACCAAGGGAC